AGCGAACGCUGGCGGCAGGCCUAACACAUGCAAGUCGAACGAACUCUUCGGAGUUAGUGGCGGACGGGUGAGUAACACGUGGGAACGUGCCUUUUGGUUCGGAAUAACUCAGGGAAACUUGUGCUAAUACCGAAUGUGCCCUUCGGGGGAAAGAUUUAUCGCCAUUAGAGCGGCCCGCGUCUGAUUAGCUAGUUGGUGAGGUAACGGCUCACCAAGGCUACGAUCAGUAGCUGGUCUGAGAGGAUGACCAGCCACACUGGGACUGAGACACGGCCCAGACUCCUACGGGAGGCAGCAGUGGGGGAUCUUGCGCAAUGGGCGAAAGCCUGACGCAGCCAUGCCGCGUGAAUGAUGAAGGUCUUAGGAUUGUAAAAUUCUUUCACCGGUGACGAUAAUGACGGUACCCGGAGAAGAAGCCCCGGCUAACUUCGUG
This 433-nucleotide ribosomal RNA is filed under the name uncultured bacterium. RNAcentral describes it as "partial 16S ribosomal RNA". It matches the Rfam family "Bacterial small subunit ribosomal RNA", at positions 29 to 507 of the family's 1533-position model. The record is from RNAcentral.